Chlorocebus sabaeus (green monkey) is the source of this 529-nucleotide long non-coding RNA. RefSeq lists it as uncharacterized. The record is from RefSeq and is a predicted model, not a curated record. NCBI's taxonomy places the organism in Eukaryota, Metazoa, Chordata, Mammalia, Primates, Cercopithecidae.
ACCAUGUUGACCAGGCUGGUCUUGAACCCCUGACCUCAAGUGAUCUGCCAACCUCAGCCUCCCGAAGUGAUGAGAUUACAGUCAUGAGCCACCAUGCCCGGCCUCCAUCUUUUACUUUCAGUCUAUCUGAAGCUUUAUAUUUAAGGGCAUUCUCAAUGAGUGUGAACAAAAAGUCAACAGCUUUCUUUCACCAUUUCACACAUCCUGAGCCUCCGUUGUUUUGAGUCAGUUGUCAUUCAUAUCUUUGUUCCCUGUGAAUGCACAAAAUUUGCUCUGUACAAUUGACUAUGAUGUGUCCAGCCAUUUCUUCUUGGUCCCUGGAUCCAUGUGUACUGCAUGACAUGGUACCACAAGUCACGGAGACUCACUUCCUUGUUUUCUUUCAGUUUCAUUUUCCCUUGUACUUCAGAUGGAAUGAUAUCUAUUGAUCUCUUUUCGAGUUCACUCACUCUUUCUUCUGUAAUGCUCAAUCUCUCUUAAGAAAGUCCAAAUAAAUUUUUCAUUUCAGAGUGGAAUUUUCAGUUCUAAA